Molecule: ribosomal RNA, 582 nt
Filed under: uncultured Actinomycetes bacterium
Lineage: Bacteria; Bacillati; Actinomycetota; Actinomycetes
Description: bacterial SSU rRNA
Rfam family: Bacterial small subunit ribosomal RNA
Source: RNAcentral
GGUGCAAGCGUUGUCCGGAAUUAUUGGGCGUAAAGAGCUUGUAGGCGGUUUGUCGCGUCUGCUGUGAAAUCUCGGGGCUCAACCCCGAACUUGCAUUGGGUACGGGCAGACUAGAGUGUGGUAGGGGAGACUGGAAUUCCUGGUGUAGCGGUGAAAUGCGCAGAUAUCAGGAGGAACACCGAUGGCGAAGGCAGGUCUCUGGGCCACUACUGACGCUGAGAAGCGAAAGCAUGGGGAGCGAACAGGAUUAGAUACCCUGGUAGUCCAUGCCGUAAACGGUGGGAACUAGGUGUGGGCCUCAUUCCACGAGGUCCGUGCCGCAGCUAACGCAUUAAGUUCCCCGCCUGGGGAGUACGGCCGCAAGGCUAAAACUCAAAGGAAUUGACGGGGGCCCGCACAAGGCGGCGGAGCAUGCGGAUUAAUUCGAUGCAACGCGAAGAACCUUACCAAGGCUUGACAUGUGCCGGAUAAGUGCAGAGAUGUGCUCCCCGCAAGGUCGGUACACAGGUGGUGCAUGGUUGUCGUCAGCUCGUGUCGUGAGAUGUUGGGUUAAGUCCCGCAACGAGCGCAACCAUCGUUAUA